This 492-nucleotide ribosomal RNA is filed under the name uncultured bacterium. RNAcentral's name for it is "partial 16S ribosomal RNA". It matches the Rfam family "Bacterial small subunit ribosomal RNA", at positions 28 to 507 of the family's 1533-position model. The record is from RNAcentral.
GAUGAACGCUAGCUACAGGCUUAACACAUGCAAGUCGAGGGGAAACGGCAUCGAAAGCUUGCUUUUGAUGGGCGUCGACCGGCGCACGGGUGAGUAACGCGUAUCCAACCUGCCCAUCACUUGGGAAUAACCUUGCGAAAGUAAGACUAAUGCCCAAUGACAUCCCACGAAGGCAUCCGAAUGGGAUUAAAGAUUUAUCGGUGAUGGAUGGGGAUGCGUCUGAUUAGCUUGUUGGCGGGGUGACGGCCCACCAAGGCAACGAUCAGUAGGGGUUCUGAGAGGAAGGUCCCCCACAUUGGAACUGAGACACGGUCCAAACUCCUACGGGAGGCAGCAGUGAGGAAUAUUGGUCAAUGGGCGAGAGCCUGAACCAGCCAAGUAGCGUGCAGGAUGGCGGCCCUAUGGGUUGUAAACUGCUUUUAUAAGGGAAUAAAGUGGGUCACGUGUGACUUUUUGCAUGUACCUUAUGAAUAAGGACCGGCUAAUUCCGUG